ACGGAAGGCAGCAGUCGGGAAUAUUGCGCAAUGGAGGAGACUCUGACGCAGUGACGCCGCGUAUAGGAAGAAGGUUUUCGGAUUGUAAACUAUUGUCGUUAGGGAAGAAUAAAGACAGUACCUAAGGAGGAAGCUCCGGCUAACUAUGUGCCAGCAGCCGCGGUAAUACAUAGGGAGCAAGCGUUAUCCGGAAUUAUUGGGUGUAAAGGGUGCGUAGACGGAGGAGCAAGUUAGUUGUGAAAUCCCUCGGCUUAACUGAGGAACUGCAACUAAAACUACUUCCCUUGAGUGUCGGAGAGGAAAGUGGAAUUCCUAGUGUAGCGGUGAAAUGCGUAGAUAUUAGGAGGAACACCAGUGGCGAAGGCGACUUUCUGGACGAUAACUGACGUUGAGGCACGAAAGUGUGGGGAGCAAACAGGAUUAGAUACCCUGGUA
This 435-nucleotide ribosomal RNA is filed under the name uncultured Oscillospiraceae bacterium. RNAcentral describes it as "partial 16S ribosomal RNA". It matches the Rfam family "Bacterial small subunit ribosomal RNA", at positions 341 to 792 of the family's 1533-position model. Lineage: Bacteria; Bacillati; Bacillota; Clostridia; Eubacteriales; Oscillospiraceae. The record is from RNAcentral.